CCUACGGGUGGCAGCAGUGAGGAAUAUUGGUCAAUGGACGAGAGUCUGAACCAGCCAAGUAGCGUGAAGGAUGACUGCCCUAUGGGUUGUAAACUUCUUUUAUAUGGGAAUAAAAUGUUCCACGUGUGGGAUUUUGUAUGUACCAUAUGAAUAAGGAUCGGCUAACUCCGUGCCAGCAGCCGCGGUAAUACGGAGGAUCCGAGCGUUAUCCGGAUUUAUUGGGUUUAAAGGGAGCGUAGGUGGAUUGUUAAGUCAGUUGUGAAAGUUUGCGGCUCAACCGUAAAAUUGCAGUUGAAACUGGCAGUCUUGAGGACAGUAGAGGUGGGCGGAAGUCGUGGUGUAGCGGUGAAAUGCUUAGAUAUCACGAAGAACUCUGAUUGCGAAGGCAGUUCACUGGACUGCAACUGACACUGAGGCUCGAAAGUGUGGGUAUCAAACAGGAUUAGAUACCCUUGUAGUC
Molecule: ribosomal RNA, 460 nt
Filed under: uncultured bacterium
Lineage: Bacteria
Description: partial 16S ribosomal RNA
Rfam family: Bacterial small subunit ribosomal RNA
Source: RNAcentral